RNAcentral lists this ribosomal RNA (443 nucleotides) under uncultured bacterium. Its description in RNAcentral is "partial 16S ribosomal RNA". It matches the Rfam family "Bacterial small subunit ribosomal RNA", at positions 338 to 795 of the family's 1533-position model. The record is from RNAcentral.
CCUACGGGAGGCAGCAGUGGGGAAUAUUGGGCAAUGGAGGCAACUCUGACCCAGCAACGCCGCGUGAAUGAAGAAGGCCUUAGGGUUGUAAACUUAUGUUGUAAAGGAAGAAAAGAAUGACGGUACUUUACAAGAAAGCCCCUGCUAACGAUGUGCCAGCAGCCGCGGUAAGACAUAGGGGACAAGCGUUGUUCGGAAUUACGGGGCGUAAAGGGAGCGUAGGCGGGGGAUGAAGUUAAGAGUGAAAGCCUUGGGCUCAACCCAAGAAAUGCUCUUACUACUGGUGUACUAGAGUGUGGGGGAGGUAAGUGGAAUUCCUAGUGUAGCGGUGGAAUGCGUAGAGAUUAGGAGGAACACCAGAGGCGAAGGCGGCUUACUGGACUAUAACUGACGCUGAGGCUCGAAAGCGUGGGGAGCAAACAGGAUUAGAGACCCCAGUAGUC